CUCAUUUUAUUCUUACAACAACCCUGAUAGCUUCUCUUUUUAUCACUAUUUUUCAGAUGAAGAAACUGGGGCUGAGAGAGAUUAAGUGACUAGCCCAGGCUCACAGAGCUAUUAAGUGUCUGGAUCAGGAUUUGAAGUCAGGUCUUCCUAACUCCCAGGGCAUAAUACCUGUAUGCCCUCCUUCUGUUUUUGCAGAAAGAUUUCAUCAAGAAGUCUUGGCUGUCUGAAGCUAUGAGCAAAGAAUACUAAAUGAGUUUUCAUGUGAACAUUCAGAAAUCUGUAGCCAAGAAGACUUGAUUUGCUGAAGAAAGGAGAGCUAACAAAUGAAUGAAAAGUACUGUGAAGCUGAGGAGACAAUCCAGCAGCAUAAAGCCCAUGGAUUUCCAGGUUUUACAUGAAGCCCUAAUUCUUCAAAUCAUCAAAGCCCAAUGGCAGAAUAAAAGUCUGGAUGAUUGGCAAUGGCCUAGGAUACAGCGGCUGCCUCUAGUAUCUUUGAUGUCUGGCCAAGUUCUAAGCUCUCCACAGUGAAUGCUUCAGCUGAUUUUAUGUCCAUUGGAACACAGGACAAGAAGUUUAUCCUAAAAGUGUCACCAUAUGUAACAGUUUUACAAU
Molecule: long non-coding RNA, 612 nt
Filed under: Monodelphis domestica (gray short-tailed opossum)
Lineage: Eukaryota; Metazoa; Chordata; Mammalia; Didelphimorphia; Didelphidae
Description: lncRNA (ENSMODG00000033248.2)
Source: RNAcentral